Molecule: long non-coding RNA, 1203 nt
Organism: Anopheles merus
Lineage: Eukaryota; Metazoa; Arthropoda; Insecta; Diptera; Culicidae
Exons: 4
Source: RefSeq, a predicted model, not a curated record
UAUUUGGCGAAAAAAGAAGAUACAUUUCGAUAGAGAAGAAAGCAUCGAAAAAUACGCCUCACAAUCGAUUUUAAAGGGCUUGUUCUAAAAGUCCCUUGAACUGGUGCAGUUUAAGGGAAGUUUAAGGUGCCAGUUUAAGGGAAAAAGUUCGACACCUCGAUUUUAGAACUCAAAAAUGUCAAUUGGGAAAGGUUAGCGGUGCAAAGAAGAUCGGAAUAGAUCAAUCCGGAUGAAAUCACAGCACGGAACAAGGAGCUGAGACGAUCGACCAUCACUACAUCAGAAAACCUCCGAAAGCUAGUUUAAAGCAGGACGCGCAUCGGAACGGAACACGGACGACUGACGGUUCCACACAUUUCAUUGUUACCACAUUUGUUUCGGUAAACUUUUCGGGGCGUAAAACAGCGUAAAACCCCCAAACUGUCUGCCGGAGAAGUACAGUGAAGAAGUGAGGAAUGCGAAAACGAUGGAGUACAAAAGAAAAAGAAGGAACGCGAUGCGUUGCAACACUGCGAAUACCACGACUAAUCAAAACAUGUCGUCGGAAUCUUCAUUCCAACCACGAUCGGCUAGAAGACGUCGUCGGUACCGUCGUCGAAGAAACCGUAAUAACGCAAAUCGGCCAGCGUUUCCGGACACCAGCAGCUCACCUAUUAUGGAAGCUGUUGCAUCGCUUAUAAACGGAACGCAGAACGAGGACAUACAGAUGUGUAUGUCCUUGGCAACUCUUUUUCGCCGACUACCAUCGAAUCGCAAGAUUGCAGCGUACGCAUCGAUGCAAACGUAUCUCAUCCGUCAACUUCUUGGUGCAGAACACGAUCAAGUUGUCAGUGAUCCAUGCUUCGUAGAUGUAUCUACCCGCACGGAAGAUUUGAAUAAUGUAGAAGUUAAAAGACCGCCUGAGGAACAAUAAUAUUUGAUAAAACUCUUAUUGUGACAAUAAACUAAUUUGUAACAAAUUUAAUUUGUUACUUUCAAAAUUUGAAACUUGAUUGCUAAAUAAUAAUAAUAAUAAUAAUUCCUCACUAAAAAUCAGAUUGGUUUUAGCAGAUAAAACAAAAGAAAUAAAUCAAUGGAAUGUAGCUAUCAUUCUGAACUUUAUUAAUAACUCGAUUAUUAUUGGGGUUUUUAUACUAAGUUUAGCCUUGAAAAACGAUGUUAUUAGAAACAUUAUUAAAAAUUAUGAACAAAAAAAAAAACCUA